UUUUUUUCUGUGCUAUGCUAUGUGAGACCCGAAAACCGCGGGUUUUAGUUGGAGCUAGCUGCGCUAGUUUCAUGGAUUUUUGUCUUUUCUACGGUCUUUCUCCGAUUGUUCUAAUCUUUGCUCUCUUCUUUACGCUAUUGUUCGCAAAUGAAAUUGUUCACGAUCUGAUUCGCUGCAGCUUCCACGUCAAAUCGACCUUCUUUUCAAUUAGUAGAUAAAUUUGGGUCGGAGGGGAGGGGUUCAUCUCCAUAAUUUCCACCAAGAAUGGCAGAUUCUUUUCACUGGUCUUCAAAAGCAUUUGCCAGAUUUCGAGUUGUGAUCACCAAUUAGCAACUGUGAUUGAGAAGUUUUCUGGGUUUUCUUUUAUUUUAAUCUUUUUUGGUAAUUGUUGAAGAAAAAUCUAUGGCUUUCACAAGAUUGGUUGCUUCAAGCAUUUGCCAGAUUUCGGGUUGUAAUCACUAAUUAGCGACUGUGAUUGAGAAGGUUUCUUGGUUUCUUUUAUUUGAAUCUUUCUUGGUAUAUGUUGAAGCAAAAUCAAUGGCUUCCACAAGAUUAGUAGCUUCAACCCAAUACUACGCUACCAGCAGUCUCGUCAUCGGAUACGCUCUCUGUUCAAGCUUACUUGCAGUCAUCAACAAGUACGCCAUUACCAAGUUCAACUUCCCUGGGCUACUCACAGCACUACAGUACUUGACUUCAGUUCUAGGGGUUUGGAUUCUUGGGAAAUUAGGGUUUCUCUACCAUGAUCCAUUCUCAACAGAGACAGCGAAGAAAUUUCUUCCUGCGGCCAUUGUUUUCUACCUGGCGAUCUUCACCAACACGAAUCUACUCCGUCACGCCAAUGUUGAUACAUUUGUGGUUUUCAGAUCCUUAACACCUCUUCUGGUAGCCAUCGCGGACACCACAUUUAGGAAGCAGCCAUGCCCUUCAAAGCUCACAUUUGUGUCUCUGUUGAUCAUAUUGGGUGGUGCUGUUGGGUAUGUGGCUACAGAUUCGGCAUUCACUGUCACUGCUUAUUCAUGGGCAUUUGUUUAUUUGGUGACAAUUACUACUGAGAUGGUUUACAUCAAACACAUGGUGACGAAUCUCGGAUUGAACACUUGGGGGUUCGUGUUUUACAACAAUUUGUUGUCUUUGAUGAUGGCACCGAUCUUUUGGAUCGUGACUGGAGAGUAUAUUGAUGUGUUCUCUGCUGUGAGAUCAAAUUCUGGCAAUUGGGUUGAAUCAGGGGCAUUUAUCGCAGUAUCAUUAUCCUGCGUCUUUGGAUUGCUUAUUAGUUUCUUUGGAUUUGCAGCGAGGAAGGCAGUCUCAGCUACGGCAUUUACAGUUACUGGUGUAGUUAAUAAGUUUCUAACAGUAGCGAUCAAUGUCUUGAUUUGGGAUAAGCAUGCUACUCCCUUUGGCUUGCUUUGCUUGAUUUUCACUAUUGUUGGGGGAGUUCUUUAUCAGCAAUCAGUAACUGGAGUUGGUAGCUCUUCAGUACAGUACAGUUCCUCUGCAUCUAAGCAGAUGAAUGGUGAUGAUGAUGAUGAUGGCAAUGAUUCUGGAAACAUGAAUCAAGGAAAAGGUGGAACUGUUAACAGAGGCAUUACUCUCCAUCAGAGCAGCCCUUAAGGAAAACCCGGAAAUCAGAAGCACCUAGUUGCUCUGCCAACACCAUUGUUGCUGCUGUGGCCGGAGAGGAAGAAAAAUAAAGGCUGGAAUUGGACAGGAAUGACAUGCCUAACGAUCCUAAUGGAGGUAAGUAGCCUAGAGCAAGAGAUGUCCCACACCUCAGCCUCCACACCUCAUGAAGAAAUUCUAUUCAAAAGCAUACAGAUGUUUAGUUGCAAGGGAAAUAAAGGGAAGGGCGGUAAACUUAAAUCAAAACUAGAAAGGAACUUCUGCAACCAUUACCUGACAUAAAUUGUGAAAUUAAUUUCAGGUCAUUCAAAAUCUGAUUAUUAUUUAUUUUACUUUGCGUCCAAA
Molecule: RNA transcript, 1968 nt
Organism: Macadamia integrifolia
Lineage: Eukaryota; Viridiplantae; Streptophyta; Magnoliopsida; Proteales; Proteaceae
Gene name: GDP-fucose transporter 1-like
Exons: 3
Source: RefSeq, a predicted model, not a curated record